Molecule: long non-coding RNA, 1030 nt
Filed under: Macaca fascicularis (crab-eating macaque)
Lineage: Eukaryota; Metazoa; Chordata; Mammalia; Primates; Cercopithecidae
Description: lncRNA (ENSMFAG00000053819.1)
Source: RNAcentral
UUUUUUUUUUUUUUUUGAGACGGAGUCUCGCUGUGUCGCCCAGGCUGGAGUGCAGUGGCCGGAUCUCAGCUCACUGCAAGCUCUGCCUCCCGGGUUUUUACGCCAUUCUCCUGCCUCAGCCUCCCGAGUAGCCGGGACUACAGGCUCGCCACCCUCGCCCGGCUAGUUUUUUGUAUUUUUUAGUAGAGACGGGGUUUCACCGUGUUAGCCAGGAUGGUCUCGAACUCCUGACCUCGUGAUCCGCCCGUCUCGGCCUCCCAAAGUGCUGGGAUUACAGGCUUGAGCCACCGCGCCCGGCCUCCUCAUCGAUUCUUAACGCAGCAACUGAAGGAUCUUUUCAAAUGUAAGUCAGACCCUGUGGCUCCUCUGCUCCGAAGCCCCCAGGGCUGCCCAUCUCCCUUAGAGGAAAAGCCACAGUUCUGACCACAGCCACGAGGCCAUACCUGGCUGGAGCUGGCUUGAUUUUAAAAAUCAUUCCAAAUUACAAAUUUUAAGAAGCUGAUGAACACCACGAAAUUCACAGCCACAAGGCCCUCUGGCUGCCACCCACUGGGGGCUCCUGCUGCUCCCUGGGUACCUCAGGCACGCUCCCCAUCGGUGUGGCUGACCUCUGAGUUUGCAGUCCAUGCUGUGGCUCUGUCUGCCUGCUUCCCUCUGCGUGGCUGGCUCCCUCAUUUCCAUCAGUGCCUGGCAUCGGGUUUCCUGCAGGAAGAGCUGGUACCCUUGGAUCAGGCAGCUUGAGAAGAGUUUAACAGAGAGGUUAUUUACAGAGGUGUGGACGGAGUCCUGCAGGGACACUGCAGUGACCAGGGCUGGAAAUAGCGGGAGCCAGCCCCUAAACCUCGGGGAGGGGGACGGGGACAGGGACAGGGACAGGAAAGCCACUGGACCCUGGAGAGAACAGGCUGUAUGGGGAGGACUGUGGCCUCUGGCCAAGGGAUGCGGCCAGCCACAGCAGUCCCAUGGGAGGGGACCCACUCACCCUCUGCCUCCCCCCACUCUCCUGCUGGUGCCCCCACCUGGUGAACCC